Molecule: ribosomal RNA, 347 nt
Filed under: Atomacera pubicornis
Lineage: Eukaryota; Metazoa; Arthropoda; Insecta; Hymenoptera; Argidae
Description: partial large subunit ribosomal RNA
Source: RNAcentral
AUAAUAAAUAGUCUUUUGAUUGAAGGCUAGAAUGAAUGAUUUAAUGAGGUAAAUUCUGUCUCGUAUAAAUUAUUUUGAAUUUAAUUUUUAAGUUAAAAAGCUUAAAUAAUAUUAAAGGACGAGAAGACCCUAUAGAACUUUAUAAUAAUUUUUAAUUAUAAUUUUAAUUUUAAUUAUUAUUAUUAUUAUUAUUUUAUUGGGGCAAUAAAAAAAUUAGAUUAACUUUUUUAUUUUUAUUACAAUAAUUAUUGAUUUUUUGAUCCUAAAAUUUUAGAUUAAUAGAUUAAGUUACCUUAGGGAUAACAGCGUUAUUUUUUUUUAGAGUUCUUAUCGAUAAAAGAGAUUGC